RNAcentral lists this long non-coding RNA (737 nucleotides) under Polistes fuscatus (common paper wasp). RNAcentral describes it as "uncharacterized LOC122526751". The record is from RNAcentral. Lineage: Eukaryota; Metazoa; Arthropoda; Insecta; Hymenoptera; Vespidae.
GUUAAAAGUUCAGAUUAUCACCAUUUUUGCUAUUGGCAACUUGAUUUCAUCGUGUAACAAAUACAUGUAUAUUAAAAAAUAUGAUACUUUUAGUCUUGUUUUCUUAAAAAUGAAUUGUUAUUUGAUAUAACUACUUGCGCAAUGUAUGAUCCUGAUGGACUCCUUACAACUGUUCAAAGGUUAAAAUAAAAAAUCUAUUAAUGUAGGAUGAAAGAGAUCGUUUCUCGGAAAUGCAUUUGUUUGUCUAGUUACGCGAUGUUGCAUCCAAAUAUCUCAAAUAUUUCUUAUUGAAAAUAAAUUAAUAAUCUAUACGUUUUAUAGUCAGGAAUGGUCGGAAGGUUUCGAAAAGAACGGAAGAAAAAAUAAAAAAGAAGCGAUCUGUUGUUAGUUACAUCAGUUUAGUUUUGUUUGAAUCAGCGACAGCUAAUAGUUGCAAGAAGAAAAACUGACAUCAGAAUAAUUAGGUACAAGACACUCUUUAAACGGUUGUACUACCUGCACAAGCAUUGUAUUUUUUUUUCUUCACUAAUAACAGUGUUCAAUAAAAAUAAUUAGAUAAAACUUUCACAAAUCGCGCGAGCACUGUGGUUUCUUAAAAUUAUUUCUUUCGAAAAUACUUUCGCGUGGUUUGUAGAUUGUUGAAACGUUGUAUGCAACUAUCAAGAGGUAUAUGGUGCGUUAAAUAUAUAAUCAAGCUUAUGUACUGAUGAAAUCCAAUAUUAAAACGGAACAAGAAA